AUAGGACAUCAAUGUGUCCACUUUAUUUCAUCACUAUUCAAGGAAGUCCAACUAAAAGAUUAACAGUAAUGAAUAAAAAUAUAAGACGAAGGAAAAAGGAAGGAUAGAGCUAUUAGCUUUCAACUAGUAAUACAGACAAAUUUGCAUUAAAAUGUGAUGAUCUGAAGAGGCUAUUCUUAUCUGCGUACUCCAUCCAUGCAUGCCAUACUCUUUUUUUGAAAAGCAUGCCUUAAGUCAUAAAUGCGACAGAAAUUCUUAAUUAAAUUUCCAAGGAAUCUAGAAGUUUCAGGUUCGGAAUUUUGUAGAACACCUUCGUGGAAGAGCAUAGGUUUAUGUAUUUUUUAAUUACUAAUCAUUUGAGUAGCAUAUUUUUCUUUUUCCUCCUCCCUCACCCUUUCCAACAAACAAGGAGUCCAUGAGGGGGAAAAAAGAAAAAAAAAAAGACUGCAAGUGUGUAGGUUUGAAGAAUGUUCAAGUUUUCAAAAUAAGAUUCAUAAUUUGUUCUCAAAUGUCAUAAUAUUAUACUAGAAACUAAUGCGAGUUAUCUUCCUUGAAAGUUUAUGUUGUGGCAUUACUUGUUCAAUAUCAAGGCAGAAAACAGUGAAAAGUUCGGGCAAGAAACAAAUGAAUGAAUUUGUAUCUGGUUUGUAGGAUUUUAACUCAGAAUUAGUCUUUUCUAUUGGAUUUAUGAAGUUAUCCUACUGAUGACAUGCUUCAUCUUUAUACGUAACUACUGCAGUUUUAUGAAUUACAUUUAGCAGUGCUUGAUCGCAUAUGAAUUUAAAUUAGUUUAAGCACUUGGGAGAAUCAAUGAUGCUUUAAAAAAUACAUAGACAUCAUCUUCAAUUUGCCAUCCCUAAAGUUUCUAAGUGACAGAUAGAGCCCCCAGAUAUAUUUAUUUUAUUUGGUACUAAAUGCUUGUGAACUCAAUUUCUUCUGACAAUGGAGGUUACUUCAGUACUAAUUUUUACUCAAAAAAAGGAAAGAAAACAAUCUAGAGGAUAUGCCUUAUAUUUGAACUUUUGGAAGACAUUGCAACUAAAAAAUGCUCAAAUUUAGGGAUGGAUCUUUAGAAUACUUAUUCCCAACAGCCAUGUAAUUUACUCUACAUAUAACAACUUGGAUUUUCUGCGAGGGGUGAAAUAUCAUUUCAGGUGCAAACCUUCCUCUGCAACUUUUCUCACAGAGCCCUUAUAAACCUCAGGUUUUCUAGUGCUCUGUUCCUAUGGCAGUUGCACUAUCCAAAAAAAAAAAGCCGCUGCCAAAAUGCACCCUUAGAAAAAAGUUAUGCUUCCAAACUUCCAAAAAAUGCCUUUCUUCAGCUCUCUGGUUAACACCUCCAUUGUUUAAUGUCAAACCAAACCAAACUAAACUAAGGGGGUGUUUAGGAAUUGAUAGUGGUUUUUUAGCUUUUUA
Molecule: non-coding RNA, 1416 nt
Organism: Camellia sinensis
Lineage: Eukaryota; Viridiplantae; Streptophyta; Magnoliopsida; Ericales; Theaceae
Source: RefSeq, a predicted model, not a curated record